GCAAUGCCGCGUGCAGGAUGAAGGCCUUCGGGUUGUAAACUGCUUUUGUACGGAACGAAACGGUGAGCUCUAAUACAGUUCGCUAAUGACGGUACCGUAAGAAUAAGCACCGGCUAACUACGUGCCAGCAGCCGCGGUAAUACGUAGGGUGCGAGCGUUAAUCGGAAUUACUGGGCGUAAAGCGUGCGCAGGCGGUGAUGUAAGACAGAUGUGAAAUCCCCGGGCUCAACCUGGGACCUGCAUUUGUGACUGCAUCGCUAGAGUACGGUAGAGGGGGAUGGAAUUCCGCGUGUAGCAGUGAAAUGCGUAGAUAUGCGGAGGAACACCGAUGGCGAAGGCAAUCCCCUGGACCUGUACUGACGCUCAUGCACGAAAGCGUGGGGAGCAAACAGGAUUAAAUACCCUGGUAGUCCAGGCCCUAAACGAUGUCAACUGGUUGUUGG
This 443-nucleotide ribosomal RNA is filed under the name Comamonadaceae bacterium. RNAcentral's name for it is "bacterial SSU rRNA". It matches the Rfam family "Bacterial small subunit ribosomal RNA", at positions 391 to 826 of the family's 1533-position model. Lineage: Bacteria; Pseudomonadati; Pseudomonadota; Betaproteobacteria; Burkholderiales; Comamonadaceae. The record is from RNAcentral.